This 332-nucleotide ribosomal RNA is filed under the name uncultured bacterium. RNAcentral's name for it is "bacterial SSU rRNA". It matches the Rfam family "Bacterial small subunit ribosomal RNA", at positions 568 to 898 of the family's 1533-position model. The record is from RNAcentral.
CGUGUAGGCGGUCAGGUAAGUGGAAUGUGAAAUGCCCCGGCUCACCCGGGGACCUGCAUCCCAAACUGCCUGGCUUGAGUAUGGGAGAGGAUGGAGGAAUUCCUGGUGUAGCGGUGAAAUGCGUAGAUAUCAGGAGGAACACCGGUGGCGAAAGCGUCCAUCCGGCCCAAUACUGACGCUGAUGCGCGAAAGCUAGGGGAGCGAACGGGAUUAGAUACCCCGGUAGUCCUAGCCGUAAACGGUGAUCACUAGGUGUUGGGGGCAUCGACCCCUCCAGUGCCGCAGCUAACGCAUUAAGUGAUCCGCCUGGGGAGUACGGCCGCAAGGUUGAA